Molecule: transfer RNA, 90 nt
Filed under: Verrucomicrobiales bacterium
Lineage: Bacteria; Pseudomonadati; Verrucomicrobiota; Verrucomicrobiia; Verrucomicrobiales
Description: tRNA-Ser
Rfam family: tRNA
About the family: Transfer RNA (tRNA) molecules are approximately 80 nucleotides in length. Their secondary structure includes four short double-helical elements and three loops (D, anti-codon, and T loops).
Source: RNAcentral
GGAAGGGUGGCUGAGUGGUUAAAGGCAUCUGACUCGAAAUCAGAAGUACGGGCAACCGUACCGUGGGUUCGAAUCCCACCCCUUCCGCCA